CAGCCGCGUUUCCGCCGGCAGCGAGCAUCCGGAGGAGGGUCCUGGUCGCGUGGCUCUCGUCUGCAGUCGACCUAGGCCACCUCCCGAAAUCCGCGGACAUCCACGCCGUCCCGAGCCGUUGGUCGCGGCACCCAGGCCAGGGGCUCCGGCUCUUGGAGGCCGUGACAGCCCUCCCUCGGCCGGCCUUUGGGGCUCCGCACCAGCCAGCGCCCCUCCUCUCCAGGGCCCUGAUGACACAGCCUGGUGCGCCCGCACUGUGGCCAGAGGGUGAGGCUGCCCCCCGGGAGGUCAUGUGACUGCUGUCCCAUGAAUGAGAAAUGUCCUCAGGGAGAUCCUGGAUUAUGAGAUCCCAGACUUGUUAGCAACAGAUUGAUCACAGUUGGCACAUGGAUAACAGAGAUGUUACUCAAGAUCACAGACGAUCUGCAGACCCCUUCCUGGAGUUAACUACUGUGCCGUGUUCUGUGCCCCGGGGCCUGCUACGAGUGCCUGUUCAUGGCUUGUCCCUUGCAGAUGGGUCUGCGGGUGCAGAGGUGCCAUGGGAGGUGGCAGUCAUCUUCAUGUCAGUCUCCAUAUCAGCCAGGCGCUAGACCAUGGGGUCCUGAGGUGUGUUCUGUAGGAGGCAGAAACCUGUGGCGCUGCCUUCACUUUGUAUACUCAGAAGAUGCAACGUGGUGCCCCUGGAAGGCACGUCUUAGCUGAGGCCAGCCUUAGAUCACAGACUGUUGAAGAAAGUCCCACGGCCAUGAACCAGUGACCCUCGGGAUGAUUUGGGAGCUGGGUUUCCUGAUAUUUCUCACCAAAAUUCUCUCGGUGUUUGUGGAGACCAGAGGGGCCGAGAAUUGAGAGGCAGGUCCCCACAUGAAGCCGCACCACAGCUCUCCCCUCUGCCUGCUCAGAGCAUCACGGACAGCUUCACUCUGCACAAGAGACCAGAGGGAAGCUGGGGGUCCACUUCAACCAGCUCUGCGUCUUGACAGCAGCACCCUUAGAGGGCCAGCCCGUGUCCCUCAGCCAUGCCCAGAAUGACUUUAGUAGCCAAGAAUUUUUCUCUUGAAUUUGUAGCUGCUCAUCACUUUCCUCCACCACCCAUUUAGUAAACCUGACCAGCGUGCUCUGUCUGCCUUUUAAAGCAGCAUCAAGCCACGUGCCAGCAAGGCUGGGCCUGGAGAAAGUGGGUCAUGAGCCAGAUCUCGUUUUCAGUCCUGGCGUGUUCUCACUCUCCUGAGGCGUGGCACGUGGGUAGUUGUUUGAAGUGUUCAGUUAGGACUAGGAGGUGAACAAGGGAUGGUACUUGGUUCAGAUUUAGGACCCAUGACAGUUGAGGUGUUGAGGAGCAGUCAGGCCAAGGCUUUGGAAGGGUGGCUGGUGACAGUGGACUAGAGAGACGGAUGCUGAUGUCAGAGAAAGUGGGGUGUCCUGGAGUUCUGGGGCUUGGCUCAUAAAAAAUUGCCUGCUGUGUGACCAACUGUCCAAGUUUGCCUGGGAUUGAGGGGUUUCCCAGGAUGAGGGACUUGAAUUGCUAAAACCAGGUAAGUCCCAGGCAAAUGGACGAGUUGGUCGACUUAUCUGGGGUGUAAAAUACAUGGUGUCAACUUGAGAGGACAGGUCACUAUGUAAAGGUGGGAGCAGGGUGAAUGGAGCAGCUGCUGUUGGACCCUGGUGUCGUGUCCUUGGGGUCAGACUUUUUGGAGAUCUUUGGUUUAAAAUAAAAAACUGCCACAAUGUGA
This is a long non-coding RNA of Myotis lucifugus (little brown bat), 1730 nucleotides long. RefSeq lists it as uncharacterized. The transcript has 8 exons. Lineage: Eukaryota; Metazoa; Chordata; Mammalia; Chiroptera; Vespertilionidae. The record is from RefSeq and is a predicted model, not a curated record.